Molecule: long non-coding RNA, 1621 nt
Organism: Monodelphis domestica (gray short-tailed opossum)
Lineage: Eukaryota; Metazoa; Chordata; Mammalia; Didelphimorphia; Didelphidae
Source: Ensembl
CUUGUAGUUAGUGAACAAAUUGGCUGUGUUUCAGGAUGUGAUGUUGAUAUUUCUAAGAUACUUUUCUUUAGUUUAGGACAUGGCUGUGUAGUACUCGGCCCCCACAUAAUCUCAUCUAUCUAGAGAAGGAUCAGCCCGUUUUCCAGAUUAGAAACCGGAGGCCAGUAUCUAGUUGUUAGUGAACAAAUGAGCCGUGCUUCUGGAUCUGAUGUUGGUGAUAUUUCUAUUGUGCUUCCCUUCAGUUUAGGAUGUGACUCUCUAGAACAUGGCAACCAUGUAAUCUUCCUAUCUGGAGCAGCACCGACCCAUUUUCCUGAUGAGAAACUGUGUUUAGCAUGUGGCUCUCUAGAACUUGGCAACCAUGUAAUCUUCCUAUCUGGAGCAGCACCGAACAAUUUUCCUGAAGCGAAACUGUGUUUAGCAUGUGGCUCUCUAGAACUUGGCAACCAUGUAAUCUUCCUAUCUGGAGCAGCACAGACCCGUUUUCCUGAUGAGAAACUGUGUUUAGGAUGUGACUCUCUAGAACAUGGCAACCAUGUAAUCUUCCUAUCUGGAGCAGCACCGACCCAUUUUCCUGAUGAGAAACUGUGUUUAGGAUGUGGCUCUCUAGAACUUGGCCACCAUAUAAUUUUCCUAUCUGGAGCAGGACCGACCCAUUUUCUUGAUGAGAAACUGAGGUGAAUAUCUUUUAUAUCGUGAACAACAGAGCCAUGGUUAUCGAUACAACUUUCAUUAUAUUUGCAUUGUAUUUCCCAUCCUGCAUGAACAUCGCUGUCUAGUAGUCAGCCUUCAUGUAAUCUUUAGGAGGUAGAGCACCAUCAGCCCAUUUUUCUCAUUGAGAAACUGAGGACAGUGUUGUGUAUAUAAUGAACAAUAGAGCCAUGAUUGUGCCUCUAAAGAUGAUGAUAUUUGCAUUUUCCUUCUCUACCAAUAUGAUCUUGUCUGUCUAGAUUCUAAGCUUCUCCUUUGCAUCAUUGUUUGCAUGUUGCAAGUAACCGUUGGGCUGUGCUUCCUUGAGAGGUAUUACAUUUCUUUGUAUCUUCUGUGCUUAGCACAGUGCCUGGCACAUAGUAGGCAUGAUGAUGGAGCAUAAGCUCCAUAAGGGCAUGGAUUUUUUUAUGUUUGUUUGAGAGUCACUGUAAUCAUGGACAGAUACUGAAUUGGAAACAUGUUGUCCUGGGUGUGAAUUCUGCCUCAGUCUUUUAAUAGCCAUGUUACCCUAGGUAAGUUACUUCAGCUUGGUAGGCAGCAUCAGUUUCUUCCUCCUUAAAAUGGGGACAAUAAUUGUGUCUACUUCACAGGGAUUUUUAUCUUAACGUGUUCUGUAUACGCUAGCUAGCACUAUUGUCUUGAUUUCCCUUUUUGCUUAAUGCAGCUCUUGCAGAAAUAACUGCUUCAUAUAAUUGUUUACCGAAUUGAUUUGAAAAUGUGGACGAUUUGCUGGAGUGAGGCCAUAUUCUCGUCCCGGCGAAAUCUGGGGCUCCAAAUGAGUCCUUCCAUUUUUCAUUUUCCUCACCUCCUUGAAGGUAGGGACUGCUUCCUUUCUGCCUUUGUAUCCCCCACACCUAGCAGUGUCUGGCAAGUACUAGCCAAUAAACGUUGGUUGCUGAUGGAUUAACCA